GAUGAACGCUGGCGGCGUGCCUAAUACAUGCAAGUCGAGCGAACGGACGAGAAGCUUGCUUCUCUGAUGUUAGCGGCGGACGGGUGAGUAACACGUGGAUAACCUACCUAUAAGACUGGGAUAACUUCGGGAAACCGUAGCUAAUACCGGAUAAUAUUUUGAACCGCAUGGUUCAAAAGUGAAAGACGGUCUUGCUGUCACUUAUAGAUGGAUCCGCGCUGCAUUAGCUAGUUGGUAAGGUAACGGCUUACCAAGGCAACGAUGCAUAGCCGACCUGAGAGGGUGAGCGGCCACACUGGAACUGAGACGCGGUCCAGACUCCUACGGGAGGCAGCAGUAGGGAAUCUUACGCAAUGGGCGAAAGCCUGACGGAGCAACGCCGCGUGAGUGAUGAAGGUCUUCGGAUCGUAAAACUCUGUUAUUAGGGAAGAACAGAUGUGUAAGUAACUGUGCACAUCUUGACGGUACCUAAUCAGAAAGCCACGGCUAACUACGUG
RNAcentral lists this ribosomal RNA (497 nucleotides) under uncultured bacterium. RNAcentral describes it as "partial 16S ribosomal RNA". It matches the Rfam family "Bacterial small subunit ribosomal RNA", at positions 28 to 507 of the family's 1533-position model. The record is from RNAcentral.